RNAcentral lists this long non-coding RNA (14004 nucleotides) under Triticum aestivum (bread wheat). RNAcentral describes it as "long non-coding RNA (TAES_LNC025838)". Lineage: Eukaryota; Viridiplantae; Streptophyta; Magnoliopsida; Poales; Poaceae. The record is from RNAcentral.
UUUCAAUUUUUGGAACCACGCAGCUCUGUCCUUAAAUACUGUCGAGGCAGUACCGGCCACAAGUGCUAGAUAAUUUUUACUGGUUAGCCAAGCGGGUGUAGAAAGCAAAUGCGUGAGUUCGAAUUCUGGUGCUGCAACCUAUUUUAGGAUUUUUUGUCCACUGGCGUUACACAUUCGUGGGCCGGCCUAGCAAGGCGCUGCUGCGAGCGCCAGUUGGUUAGUUGGCGCUGAAGGCGCGGAGUAGGAGCUCCCCUCCUAGAAACCUAGGGAAGUCCAUCUUUGGUCCUUUAGUCAGUGAUUUCAUGAACUGGGCCUGCAUGUUGAUGGGGUUAUGUACCUAGGGUAGGGUCAUGGACCUGUUCCAAGUAACUUACCCUAGGACAUCCCUAGAAGAGGUCGCCUUCCAGUCGACCAACGAGGAUUCACUCGACUGGCCUGAAGGACUCGACCACGAAGACUCACUCGACCACCAGGAGGUCAAGAGGCACUCUGCACCGCAACGGCCUGUAAUUAAGUAGACUUUAUGAUAGUAAAGGCACUUUAUGUGGAGCGUUACCAGUAACGCCCCAGACUUAACUCACCUUAAACCCUCUCCUACGUGGGCUGGCUGGGGUCCUGGCGCACUCUAUAUAAGCCACCCCCCCUCCACAGGCAGAAGGGUUCGGCACCUUGUAAUCCAUACAUUCAUAAUCCACUCGACGCCUCUGGGCUCCGAGACGUAGGGCUGUUACUUCUUCCGAGAAGGGCCUGAACUCGUACAUCCUUUGUGCUUACAACCUCUCCAUAGCUAGGACCUUGCCUCUCCAUACCUACCCCCACUCUACUGUCAGGCUUAGAACCACGACAGUUGGCGCCCACCGUGGGGCAGGUGUUUUAGCGAUUUUGUGGAGAAGUUGCGAUUCUUCCGAGUACUUUCAUCAUGGUGUCUGCUGGAAUUUUGGUCGAGGGUCAAGAGAUCCGUCUCGGCGCUCUCGCCUUCAUCGCCGACGACUCCGCAUGGCUCCAGGAGGCUCCACUCGACGUAGAUGCACUCCCCGUCCGCGGUGCGACGCAUUUUCGCGCAUGUGUCCGCGGCGUUCUGCUGCGGCAACCAUCGACCCAGUAUCGGUCGGCUCCUCCAUCUUCCACCCUCCCGGUCUCCCGCCAGCGCAAGCGCUCAGGCCGGUCGAGGCUUCAGCGAUGGGUGAGUCACGCGGUGGCUCGCCAGUCGGCUACUACACAAGUUGCGGCAAUCGAGCCCAACGAAUCUCUCUACGGCUUGUUCGAUCAGUCGACUGGCUCCGGAGAGACUGCAUCCGAGUGCGGAAGCAGUGAUCCAGCGGCGGAAAUCUUGAUGGUCGACGGGCCCCACAGUCCUCCUGGCUUCGCCCGUGGUGGUGGAGCAGGCGACGGCGGCGACCCUGCACGAGGCUACAAAGAGUACCAGCCCGAGCCACUCGACUCUAUGCAAAGAGAAGAGCUUCGCCGCAGGAACGAGGAUCCCCUGCGUAUUCCCAUCGCAGGAGAAACCCCCGAGGCUCGUGCCUUGGAGGAGGCGCGUCUGGCCAAUUUGGCCGAGCGCACUCGACUGGAGAACCUUCAGCGAGCACUCGACGAGCGCGCGCGGCAACGAGUUCCCGACACCAGUCGACGUCAACUCUUCCCGCCGACUCAGGUAUAUCGAACCCCAAUUCAGAAUUUAGCAGUUGCGACCCGUAUAGCAGAGUCCAUUCAGCCUUCGCAGUCAGAGGCUGGCAGAGGUUUGCUGCAGAUCAGGGAUCUGCUCCAGGCAGCAGGAGAUCAGAAUUCAGCCGUGUCUCAGUCGCGCAACAGAAUUCACAGUCGAUCUGUCACUGUGAAUACGGUUCAGUCGGCUCACAGCCCCAGAUCGCCUCCGCGGCGCGAAGGGCGUGAGAAUCGGCGAGAUCAAUAUGGCGACAGACUCGACCGAGAUGAUAGGCGUCGAGUGCCCUAUUCCCCUCCGAGGGGUGGGUCUUACGCUCCUCGGCAGCCAGAUGAUAGGCGUCAGUACAGUACAGGGCGUAGGGUUCCGGUUGACCCCAGAGAGCCAGGCUUCGACGCGCGAUCCAUUAUCGUGCAAGGGUUGGUCGACCGGAACAGAGCCCAUCGAGGCGCACUCGACAGAGAUGUGCCCACGAGCCGUCGAGUACAUGUUUCUGGUCCUGAAUGUUUCAGCAGAGCUAUCAGAGCCGCAGUUAUCCCCCCCAAUUUCAGGUUGGCAACAGGAGUCAGCAAGUUCACUGGUGAGUCUAAGCCUGAAACUUGGCUUGAAGACUACCGAGUGGCAGUUCAGAUCGGUGGUGGGAACGACGAGGUGGCCAUGAAGCAUUUGCCCCUCAUGUUGGAAGGUUCUGCCAGGGCAUGGUUGACUCAAUUGCCUCCUAGCAGCAUUUACACUUGGGAAGAUCUGUCCCGAGUGUUCGUCAGAACGUUCGAAGGGACUUGCAAGCGACCAGCGGGAUUGACAGAGUUGCAAGUCUGCGUGCAGAAAACCAAUGAGACUCUCAGAGAGUAUAUUCAGAGGUGGAUCACUUUGCACCACACUGUGGAAAAUGUCUCUGACCAUCAGGCAGUAUGCGCCUUCAAAGAUGGUGUCAAGAACAGAGAACUGAGUUUGAAAUUUGGUCGAACCGGUGACAUGACCUUGAGUCGGAUGAUGGAGAUUGCUACCAAGUACGCCAACGGCGAAGAAGAAGACCGACUCCGAAGCGGCAAGCAAGCCGAGUCAGUCGGAAAAAGGAAACACCAGUCGGAAACAGAAGCGGAAGGCUGAACCGGCAGCUCCUGGAGAGGCUCUGGCCGUGACUCAAGGAAAGUCUAAGGGGAAACCAAAAGGAUCCUGGAACCCCAAGAAAGUAAAGGAUAAAGAAGGGAACGACGUGAUGGAUAUGCCGUGUCAUAUUCACACGAAGAAAGAUGAAGAGGGGAAUAUCAUUUACCCAAAGCACACCACUCGCCAAUGUCGACUCCUGAUCCAGCAGUUUCAGGGAAAACAGUCUAAGGACAAGGAGAAGGAGCCGGACAAGGCCGAAGACAAAGAGGACAGUGAGGGAGGAUAUCCGCAUAUCAACUCCACUCUGAUGAUCUUCGCAGAUGUGGAAAGCAGAAGUCGACUGAAAGUGAUUAACCGAGAGGUUAACAUGGUUGCCCCGGCAAAGGCAAAUUAUCUGAAGUGGUCUCAAACACCCAUCACAUUCGACCAAUCUGAUCACCCGACUCAUAUUGCCACCCCUGGGAGGCAAGCUUUGGUGGUCGAUCCAGUUGUCGAAGGCACUCGACUGACAAAGGUGCUGAUGGAUGGUGGAAGUGGGCUGAACUUACUGUAUGCAGACACACUGAAAGGUAUGGGCAUUCCGAUGUCCCGACUGAGCACUAGUAACAUGAGCUUCCAUGGAGUUAUACCAGGGAAGAAGGCCGAGUCACUCGGCCAGAUAGCUUUGGACGUAGUGUUUGGCGAUUCAAAGCAUUUUCGCAAAGAAAAGUUGACGUUUGAGGUCGUGGAUUUUCAAAGUGCAUAUCAUGCCAUUUUGGGGAGACCAGCCUAUGCACGGUUCAUGGCUCGACCAUGUUACGUGUACCUCAAAUUGAAGAUGCCCGGUCCCAAAGGUGUGAUCACUGUCACCGGUGAUAGGAAAAAGGCAGAGGAGUGCUUUCAGAAGGGCUCCAAAAUUGCCGAUUCCCAAGUGACAGCGGUCGAGUUCGAAGAAUACAAGCAAAACGCAGAUCCGAGUGACUUGCUGUGAUCCAAGAAGCCCGCCACAGAAUCUGCAUUCCAGUCGUCCGGUGAGACGAAGCUUGUUCACAUUCACCCGACCGACCCCGAAGCAGCUCCGACCCGCAUCUCCACAACACUCGACCCAAAAUAGGAAGAAGCGCUCAUCCAGUUCCUCCGUGAGAACUGGGACAUUUUUGCAUGGAAGCCCGCUGACAUGCCAGGUGUUCCCAGGGGACUGGCUGAGCAUCGCCUAAGAGUCGACUCGUCUGCAAAGCCAGUCAAAGAACAUCUUCGGCGGUCCGCCGUCCAGAAGAGAAAGGCCAUCGGUGAAGAAGUGGCUCGACUGUUGGCGGCAGGAUUUAUCCGAGAGAUAUUCCACUCCGAGUGGCUCGCUAAUGUCGUCAUGGUUCCUAAGAAGGACAAGUCGCUCCGAAUGUGCAUUGAUUUCAAGCACAUCAACCGGGCCUGCCCGAAAGAUCACUUUCCUCUCCCUCGCAUAGAUCAAAUUGUUGACUCGACCGCGGGAUGCGAGAGGUUGUCUUUUUUAGAUGCUUACUCCGGGUACCACCAGAUCCGUCUGUAUGGGCCCGAUGAAGUAAAAACAGCUUUCAUCACUCCAUUCGGGUGCUUCUGCUAUAUCACCAUGCCAUUCGGCCUCAAGAAUGCCGGAGCCACAUUUAUGCGAAUGAUCCAGAAGUGUCCACUCACUCAAAUCAGUCGGAAUGUGGAAGCUUAUAUGGAUGAUAUUGUUGUCAAGUCACGAAAAGGUUCCGACCUGCUCGCUGACCUCGCCGAAACAUUUGCCAACCUCAGAAGGUAUGAUAUCAAGCUCAAUCCAUCAAAGUGCACAUUUGGAGUUCCUGGUGGCAAGUUACUCGGUUUUCUCGUUUCCGAACGGGGAAUCGACGCCAACCCAGAAAAGAUUGGCACUAUUCUCCGAAUGAAACGCCCUGUGCGAGUGCACGAUGUCCAGAAGCUUACUGGAUGCUUGGCCGCAUUAAGUCGAUUCAUCUCACGACUCGGUGAAAAGGCAUUGCCUCUUUACCGACUGAUGAAGAAGGCUGACAAGUUCGAGUGGACUCCAGAAGCUGAUGCAGCGUUUGCCGAGCUAAAAGCUCUGCUCUCCACCCAGCCGGUGCUUGCUGCUCCAAUCAGCCAAGAGCCUCUGUUGCUCUACAUCGCAGCCACAGGACAAGUCGUCAGUACUGUGCUAACGGUCGAGCGGGAAGAAGAAGGAAAAGCUCUCAAAGUUCAGCGCCCAGUGUAUUAUUUGUCUGAAGUCUUGACUCCAUCCAAGCAGAGAUAUCCUCAUUAUCAGAAGCUUGUGUAUGGAAUAUACAUGACCACAAAGAAGGUUGCUCAUUAUUUCUCUGACCAUUCAAUCACAGUCGUCAGCGACGCUCCACUAUCAGAGAUUUUGCACAACAGAGAUGCAACUGGUCGAGUGGCCAAAUGGGCGAUUGAACUUCUUCCCCUUGAUAUCAAGUUUGAGGCAAAGAAAGCCAUUAAGUCCCAGGCAAUAGCAGAUUUCCUCGCCGAGUGGAUCGAACAGCAGCAGCCGGCUGAAGUUCACUCGGAGCAUUGGACCAUGUUUUUCGAUGGUUCUAAGAUGUUGAAUGGUUCCGGUGCUGGGGUUGUCCUGGUUUCCCCCAGAGGAGAUAAGCUCAGAUAUGUGCUCCAGAUUCACUUUGAUUCCUCCAACAAUGAGGCAGAAUAUGAGGCCCUCCUAUAUGGGUUGCGCAUGGCCAUUUCACUCGGCGUCCGUCGCCUAAUGGUCUAUGGCGACUCGGAUUUAGUGGUCAAUCAGGUGAUGAAAGAGUGGGACGUGAGAAGCCCAGCCAUGACUGGAUACUGCAGUGCAGUGAGGAAGCUGGAGAAAAAAUUCGAGGGGUUGGAGCUCCAUCAUAUACCCCGACUGAAAAAUCAAGCAGCUGAUGAUCUAGCAAAGAUAGGUUCCAAGAGAGAAGCCAUUCCGAGUGGUGUGUUCUUGGAGCAUAUACAUACUCCGUCAGUCAAAGAAGAUCCUUUCACCGAAGAAACUCCGCAGCCCAAGAGUGCCACAGAUCCGACUGAAGUUGAAGUCCCAGCGGUGGUCGACUUGAUCAUGGAGGUUUUGGUAGUCAUUCCCGACUGGACGAUUCCGUAUGUCGCAUAUAUCUUGAGGAAAGAGCUUCCGGAGGAUGAGGAAGAGGCUCGACAGAUCGUCCGUCGAUCUAAGGCCUUUACCGUCAUCAAAGGACAAUUAUACAGAGAGAGCACGACUGGAGUCGGUCAGAAGUGCAUAACACCAGAAGAAGGUCGACUCAUCCUCAAUGAUAUUCACUCGGGAACCUGUGGUCAUCAUGCGUCCUCCCGGACCAUCGUGGCCAAAGCAUACCGAGCCGGAUUUUACUGGCCCAAGGCGAAUGAGAUGGCAAAGGAGAUAGUGGAUAAGUGCGAGGGAUGUCAGUUCUACUCGAAUAUGUCGCACAAACCUGCGUCAGCUUUGAAGACCAUCCCACUCGUCUGGCCUUUUGCAGUCUGGGGGCUGGACAUGGUCGGCCCUUUGAGAACAGGACGAAGUGGCUUCACGCAUGUACUGGUGGCAGUCGACAAGUUCACCAAGUGGAUCGAGGCUAACCAAUCAAGAGCCUCGACACCGGUACUGCUGUUAGCUUCAUCAGGGAACUAAUAUUCAGAUAUGGAGUCCCGCACAGCAUCAUUACGGAUAAUGGGUCGAACUUUGACUCAGAGGAAUUCAGAACCUUCUGCAACUCCCAGGGCACACGGGUCGACUACGCAUCAGUCGCCCAUCCGCAGUCGAAUGGACAAGCAGAGCGAGCUAAUGGACUGAUUCUCAAGGGACUGAAGCCGCGACUGAUGCGUGAUCUCAAACACGCGGCUGGAGCUUGGGUCGACGAACUUCCAUCUGUACUCUGGGGACUGCGGACCACGCCCAAUCGGUCGACCGGAAGAACUCCAUUCUUCUUGGUCUAUGGAGCCGAAGCAGUCUUGCCGAGUGAUCUUCUCCACAAUGCUCCUCGAGUCGAAAUCUACAAUGAAGCAGAAGCUGAACAAGCGCGGCAGGACGCAGUCGACCUUUUAGAGGAAGAAAGGGAGAUGGCUCUGAUCCGGUCGACCAUCUACCAACAAGAUCUGCGCCGUUUCCACGCCCGAAAUGUGAGAGGUCGAGCCUUCCAGGAAGGGGAUUUGGUUCUCCGAGUGGAUCAGCACAAACCACACAAGCUUGCUCCUUCUUGGGAAGGCCCCUUCAUCGUCACCAAGGUUCUCCACAACGGGGCGUACCGUCUUUACAACGUCGAGCAUAAUAUCGACGAGCCCCGAGCUUGGAACGCGGAGCUACUCCGCCCAUUUUACACUUAAGUUUUAUCACUCGGAUGAGUUGCAAUAAAGUACUUCUGUAGUUCAUGGGUUUAGAAAUAAUUGUGUCAUCACUUUUUAUUUUUGUCCACAUAAAAACUCCCCCUCAGUGGGUGGCUUAGCCGCGAAUCCGUUUCGCCUAAGUUUGUAAAAAUCCUAUCGAGUGGUGAGCCAGACUCACACUCGGAGGCUUAGCUGCGAAUCCGUUUCGCCUAAGUUUAUCAAAAUCCUACCGAGUGGUAAGCCAGCCUUCCACUCGGGGGCUUAGCUGCAGUCCAAGGACUCGCCUAGGUUUAUCAAAAUCCUACCGAGUGGUAAGCCAGCCUUCCACUCGGGGGCUUAGCUGCAGUCCAAGCACUCGCCUAAGUUGUGAAAAUCCUACCGAGUGAAGAGCGAUCCUCUCACUCGGAGGCUUAGCUGCAGUCCAAGGACUCGCCUAAGUUUAUCAAAGUCCUACCGAGUGGUAAGCCAGCCUUCCACUCGGGGGCUUAGCUGCAGUCCAAGCACUCGCCUAAGUUGUGAAAAUCCUACCGAGUGAAGAGCGAUCCUCUCACUCGGGGGCUUAGCUGCAGUCCAAGCACUCGCCUAAGUUUAUCAAAAUCCUACCNNNNNNNNNNNNNNNNNNNNNNNNNNNNNNNNNNNNNNNNNNNNNNNNNNNNNNNNNNNNNNNNNNNNNNNNNNNNNNNNNNNNNNNNNNNNNNNNNNNNNNNNNNNNNNNNNNNNNNNNNNNNNNNNNNNNNNNNNNNNNNNNNNNNNNNNNNNNNNNNNNNNNNNNNNNNNNUGCAGUCCAAGCACUCGCCUAAGUUGUGAAAAUCCUACCGAGUGAAGAGCGAUCCUCUCACUCGGGGGCUUAGCUGCAGCCUCGUGCUCGCCUAAGUUAUCAAAAUCCUACCGAGUGGUAAGCCAGCCUUCCACUCGGAGGCUUAGCUGCAGCAUCGUGCUCGCCUAAGUUAUAAAAAUCUUACCGAGUGGAGAGCAACCCUCUCACUCGGGGGCUUAGCUGCAGCCCUGCGCUCGCCUAAGUUACAAAAAUCCUACCGAGUGAAGAGCGACCCUCUCACUCGGAGGCUUAGCUGCAGCCCAGUGCUCGCCUAAGUGGACUAAAGAAUAAGUCGAUUGCGGUACAGGCACCUUGCUUUGAACCUGCAAAAGACAUUCCGAGCCGAAGGCAAUCAUAUUCAAGUGCCAAAUUCAAGUUUGGAUCGAUAUCUAAAGGAACCGAAAGUGCUCGGGCGUCAAGCCUGUUAAGGUUUGUCGGUUACAAUUCCACUCGGCAUACCGAGGCAAAUUUAAAGUGUCGAGCCAGAAGAAGUUUUUUACCCCUCCUGUGGAGGGCUGGAAGGUGCAACAAAUUCAUCAAGGUCAAUUCCGUCGGCGAUCCGAGUGGCAGCUGCAAGGAAAGUCUCCAUAAAGGACCUGAAGUCGUGCUUCUUGGUAUUGGCCACCCGAAGGGCCGCCAGCUUCUCCUCUCGUGCAUCUUUGCAGUGGACUCGGGCCAGACACAGAGCGACAUCUGCACCACACCGAGCCGAGGACUUCUUCCACUCCUGCACUCGACCAGGGAUCGUGUUCAAGCGGGCCAUCAGCGACUCAAGGUCAUUCUGAAGUGUCUCCUCAGGCCAGAGCGUCGAGUCGAUGCGAGAUGUGGCGGCCUUCAGCCUUGCGAGAUAGUCCACGACAGCUGCGACACGAGACUCCAGUCGGAAAACAUCCAUGGCAACUUCGUCGUUCACCGGAGAAUUGACGGGGUCAAGGUUUGGCUCCAGUCGGCUGGUUUCCUCUUCAAAGUUUUGACAAAAUUCUGCAAGGGUGAUCACUAAGUCAAGGGGAUAGUCGAAUGGAAGAAGCCACAGUUGGAAAUAUUUGCCAAACAUGGAGGUUUACCUUCAAGCAUAAGAAACAGCUUCUUGGCAAGGCCACUCAGGAAGGCCUCCAGUUCAGUUUUCUUCUCAGUCAAUUUGCUGACUUGGUCGGUCAAGGCAGCUUUGUCAGUUCUCAGUCGACUGACUUCCUUGUUGGCAAUCCCAAGAGCAGUUUUCAGAUUGGUAUUGUCUUGUUCGAGCUUGGUGACUGAAGCUAACUUCUCGUCAGCAAGCUUGAUCUUCUCAGCUAGCUCAAGGUCUUUCUUCUGCUGGGCCUCCCUUACCUUACCUGCAAGUUACAGUGAGAUCAGAUGCCGAAACAAGCAAGGGGAAAAGCAGUCGUCAGGGUCUCACCAAACAUACCUUCGGUCUCCUCCUUUGCCUUUGUCAGCUUCUCCUGAACCAGCUUCAAGCUCAGCUCGACUUGAGUAUGUUUUUGUUCCAGCUCUGAGUAGCGAGCCACAAGAUCACAGGAGUUCUGCGAAGAACCAAUCGACUAAACGUCAAAUGUAACUCACUUCCGAGUGAAAAAGGGAAAAACACACGUUUCUGAGACUACAGCCGAAUACAAGCAUUCGACCGUAGUCUCGGGGACUACACCCAGUGGGUGCACUCAGCGUGCCCCCACUAAUCCUGUUGAAGACAAAGUCGACCAGUCGACCUCAAAAAAAAAACAGUGUGCGAGACACAUUCUCUAAGACUGUGAUCAACUGCAAGCAGUCGACCACAGUCUCGGGGACUACAUCCAGUGGGUGCACUCAGCGUGCCCCCACCGGUUUGCGAAAUCCAGUUGACCAGUCGACUGACAGAAAGAUUGACAUCAUAAAGCCUAAGGCCGACUGCCAGCAGUCGACCUUAGCCUUGGGGACUACACCCAGCGGGUGCACUCAGCGUGCCCCCGCUAACACGGAGUUUAUUCGACACACCCAGUGGGUGACUAAUAUAAAUUCCGGAAAAGAAAAGUUUUUGGUAGCAUAUCCAACAGAACAAACAGCGGUCGACUGACCUGGACAUUGCUUUGGAGGGCAGAACUGGCGUCAUAAGCUGCCUGGCUCGCGUCCCGGAUGGUCUUCAGCUGCUCCAUCAUGAGUCCCGCCUGGCGUAUCGCCUCCUUCGCUGCGCCAGCUUGGUCCUCUGGGACGUGGUGCGUCAAGAAGAGGGAAGGCUGCUGAGCACUCGUCAGUGGAUUCGCGAAGGUCACCGUGUGUCGAGUGGUGUUCUCUUCCUCCACAGUCAGAAUUUCAGGCGCCGGCACAUCCUGAGGCACCUUACUGGCGGACGCUUUCCGACUCCUCCUGUGCUUCAGCGGCUCUUCAUCCUCAUCAUCAUCAGGAAGAUCGAUAACAGUGUUGGGUGGAGCUGCGGAGAAGGAUCAGGAUCAGAGAUCGCGAGUCAGUCGACUAAGAAUGGUAUUAAGAACACAGUACCUGGAUUCGAAGUUGCUGCAUCCUCCAUCUCGUGGUCAUCGGCCCGGGCCGAGGUCUCAGAAGUAGCAGCACUGCAACUCCAAAGGAUCAGUCGACUAACCUCAGCGUCGACUAGAGAUAAAGUUCGCACAGAAUAAGAAAAUAUGAGCAACACAAUUACCCUGAUAUGGUGGGGAUGGACACCUUCAUCUUCGGCAGGAGCUUGGUCGGCUUCGAUGAGGCCGCCCUGGGCUGCUUCGGCGCCUUUUCAGUCGGCGCCGGAGAGGUGGUCCGAGGGCGCUUGGUCGACUGAGUGGCGGUCGCAACCCCCUUACCACGUUCGGUCGAAGGGUCGUGGACAAGCUUCGACCGCCUUUCUGAGCGCGGUGGAACGACCUCCUCCUCCUCUUCUUCCUCGUCCUCGAUGUCAUCUUCAUCACCUUCAUCAUCAUCAUCGUCGUCAUCAUCCCCUGCAGCAUCCGAGUCCCAUUCCUCCUCUUCCUGGCUCUCGCCCCCGCUCGCCUCGCCCCCGCUCGCCUCGCCUUCCUCAGUCGAAGCUUGUGCCCCAUUGGGCAUCGAGUACAGCUCGGUGAAGGCCUAGCAGAUGCCCAAACAAGGAUCAGUCGACCAGUCGGCAGGGUUAGCAGAAAUGAAUACGACAAGGACACGAUGGAAAGCAGAGCAAGUGUACCUUGUUUGGGUCGCUGUUGUGGUCGAGUGGAGGAAUCCUUCUGGCUCCGCGCAGGUUGUCCCUGUUUCCGGUAACGGCUACCAUCCAUCUUUCCAGAGUGGCAUCGUCGACUUCUUCUGGAUGGACUCUAGUCUCGUCUUCGGGCCCACAGUACAACCACAUGCAGUGGCUCCGGAAUUGAAGGGGUUGGAUGCGACGCCUGAGGAAGACCUCCAGAAGAUCCAUGCCCGUCACCCCCUCCCGAACCAACUGCACCACGCGCUCCAUCAACAUCUUCACGUCGGCUUUCUCCUCCGGAAUCAGCUUCAGAGGGGAGGGCUUGUUCACUCGGUCCAUGGUAAACGGAGGGAGUCCACUCGACUGCCCUGGCGUCGACUGGACCUGACAGUAGAACCAAGUCGACUGCCAGCCUCUGACGGACUCGGGAAAGGACAUGGGCGGGAAGGUGCUAUUAUUCCUCACCUGAAUCCCCAGGCCCCCACACAUUUGGACGACUCGGGUCUUCUCAUCACCCGGGCUCGCCUUCUUCACGGUCUGAGAGCGACACGUGAAGAUACGUUUGAACAAACCCCAGUGCGGUCGACAGCCCAAGAAACCCUCACACAUGGACACGAAUGCAGCAAGAUAGGCAAUGGAGUUUGGGGUAAAGUGGUGGAGCUGCGCUCCAAAGAAAUUCAAGAAGCCACGGAAGAAAAUGCUUGGCGGCAAGGAAAACCCACGAUCAACAUGAGUGGCCAGAAGCACACACUCACCCUCUUCUGGCUGUGGCUGCCACUCCUUCCCCGGCAACCUCGCAGCUCCGUGAGGGAUCAAGCCCUCGUUGGCCAUGUCAAGGAGGUCCUUCUCCGUGAUGGUCGACUGGAUCCAGUCUCCUUGGACCCAGCCUUUCGGCAGGCGGGAUCUGGACGAGGACCCUCUGCGGCUGGUGGAUCUCCCCUUCGCCUUCUCCGAUGCCGACGCCUUCUUGGCACGCUCCAGCGCCGCCGUCUUCUCCUUGGCCAUGGUCGCCGGUGAGAUGCACGAAGGGAAGUGGUGCGGGGGCGAGAGCGAGCACGCUGAGCAGGGAGGAAGGAAGCAGAGGGAGAGAGGGAGAAUGCUGAGGCGCAGCACAGAAAUCCUCGCCGGGCACAUUUAUAAGGUCCCUUCCGAGUGGCUGACAUGUGGGCCCGGUCGAUCUAAUCAUAUCUGGGAGCAGUUAUGAGGACUGGAUACGUGGCGAAAAAGGCGGCGCGGAGAUCGAGGCGUCUAUGCCCCGUCCCAUCCGAACGCCGUGGUCUGCCCCGCUUCGCGCGCGCCCCCAAAUUUCGCACCCCGCGGAAUCCGCGAGCAACAAAUCAGUCUGUCAGACGCGGUGUUUCCGGCGAUCCGUCGCUCGGAGAUCGUCGAAGCUCGAAAGAUCACUCGACGCAAAAAUAGAAUGGAUCGAGUCGACCAAAGACAAAUUGCUCCCUGUCAACGAAGAGAUUCUUUGAUCCAGAACAGCGCACAACUAGAGCGCAAAGGUUAAUCGGAAACGACAUCAACUCCUUCUUCACUCGAAGCCUCAAUCCAUUCGGGGGCUAAUGAUGGGGUUAUGUACCUAGGGUAGGGUCAUGGACCUGUUCCAAGUAACUUACCCUAGGACAUCCCUAGAAGAGGUCGCCUUCCAGUCGACCAACGAGGAUUCACUCGACUGGCCUGAAGGACUCGACCACGAAGACUCACUCGACCACCAGGAGGUCAAGAGGCACUCUGCACCGCAACGGCCUGUAAUUAAGUAGACUUUAUGAUAGUAAAGGCACUUUAUGUGGAGCGUUACCAGUAACGCCCCAGACUUAACUCACCUUAAACCCUCUCCUACGUGGGCUGGCUGGGGUCCUGGCGCACUCUAUAUAAGCCACCCCCCUCCACAGGCAGAAGGGUUCGGCACCUUGUAAUCCAUACAUUCAUAAUCCACUCGACCGCCUCCGGGCUCCGAGACGUAGGGCUGUUACUUCUUCCGAGAAGGGCCUGAACUCGUACAUCCUUUGUGCUUACAACCUCUCCAUAGCUAGGACAUUGCCUCUCCAUACCUACCCCCCACUCUACUGUCAGGCUUAGAACCACGACACAUGUCUUGUUCAUAAGUCUUGAAAUAUCCUUGCCAUAGUUGCCUGUCCUUGUUUGGCUGGUAAAACUUGUUGAAAACAGGGGCGUGACCUGCCUCCCUUGCAGUUACAGGAGUACCCACAGCACUAAGAUUAUCAGCUCUUUGCUGAUUAUCAUACCCAGGAGGAAUAGGAGGUCGUUGAACUCUGAUGGGGGGUAAAUUUUGCAGAUGUAAUUCUUCUGCUUGUCGAGUUUUCUCCCUUUCUAGUUCCAACUGUUUCCUGAGAGCAUCGUUUCUGGCCUGCUGAUCUGGGAUUUGUUCCUGUUGCAGAGUGGGAGAAUGUACCACAUGACUAGUACUAGGCUGAUCUGGGCCCGAUGGUGCCUGGGCAUUUGGCUAAGCAAUUGAUUUCAAAACUGCACUUAUAGUACAGAGUUGUUUGCCCAAAUCCAGUACUGCCUUCUCAAUUCCCCCAACUUGGAGAGAGAUCUCACCUUGUUUGGAACUGAUGGACCGAACGUCUUCUUGCAACUUGGAUACUUCCAAUCGCAUCAUAGAACUGUCCUUCUAAAGAACACCAAAGUCAUCUCGCAGAGAGAGAACUUCUUGAAGAUCCGCCUCAUCGAUCGUCUUCGCGCGACCCAUCUCCUUGAUCUCAGGUAAGGGCGAGGAAUUUUACCCUGGAACACCAGCAACCUUUCCCUCACCUCAGAUCCAGCCGCCGCCACGAUCCACGCCUCCAAAGCACACGGAUCAGCGCUCGGACGCGGAAUUUUACCGAUCGAACAGAGUAUCGAUCAACCGCCCCUGCUCUACCGAUUUGUGCCCUAAUUCUCACUGCCACAUGCGCCUCCACACCGCCUCAACCCCGCUGCCGUAUAACAGCACCGCCGAAAACGAAG